AUUGAACGCUGGCGGCAUGCCUUACACAUGCAAGUCGAACGGCAGCACGGGUGCUUGCACCUGGUGGCGGGUGGCGAACGGGUGAGUAAUACAUCGGAACGUACCUUAUCGUGGGGGGUAACGCAGCGAAAGUUGCGCUAAUACCGCAUACGCCCUGAGGGGGAAAGCGGGGGACCGUAAGGCCUCGCGCGAUGAGAGCGGCCGAUGUCUGAUUAGCUUGUUGGUGAGGUAAAAGCUCACCAAGGCGAUGAUCAGUAGCUGGUCUGAGAGGACGAUCAGCCACACUGGGACUGAGACACGGCCCAGACUCCUACGGGAGGCAGCAGUGGGGAAUUUUGGACAAUGGGGGCAACCCUGAUCCAGCAAUGCCGCGUGAGUGAAGAAGGCCUUCGGGUUGUAAAGCUCUUUUGUCAGGGAAGAAACAGCAGCUCUAACACAGUCUGCGAAUGACGGUACCUGAAGAAUAAGCACCGGCUAACUACGUGCCAGCAGCCGCAGUAA
RNAcentral lists this ribosomal RNA (501 nucleotides) under uncultured bacterium. Its description in RNAcentral is "partial 16S ribosomal RNA". It matches the Rfam family "Bacterial small subunit ribosomal RNA", at positions 30 to 523 of the family's 1533-position model. The record is from RNAcentral.